This 72-nucleotide transfer RNA is filed under the name Camelus bactrianus (Bactrian camel). It matches the Rfam family "tRNA". Rfam says of the family: Transfer RNA (tRNA) molecules are approximately 80 nucleotides in length. Their secondary structure includes four short double-helical elements and three loops (D, anti-codon, and T loops). RNAcentral also lists the same sequence under 2 other names. Lineage: Eukaryota; Metazoa; Chordata; Mammalia; Artiodactyla; Camelidae. The record is from Rfam by way of RNAcentral.
GGUUAUAUAGCUCAGUGGCAAAGUGAGUGCUUAGCAUGCACAAGGUCCUGGGUUCAAUUCCCAGUACCACCA